UACGUAGGGGGCAAGCGUUGUCCGGAAUUAUUGGGCGUAAAGAGCGCGUAGGCGGUCCGGUAAGUCGGCUGUGAAAGUCAAGGGCUCAACCCUUGAAAGCCGGCCGAUACUGUCGGACUAGAGUCCGGAAGAGGCGAGUGGAAUUCCCGGUGUAGCGGUGAAAUGCGUAGAGAUCCGGAGGAACACCGAAGGCGAAGGCAGUGUCCUGGCGCGUAACUGACGCUGAGGUGCGAAAGCCAGGGGAGCGAACGGG
Molecule: ribosomal RNA, 253 nt
Filed under: uncultured bacterium
Lineage: Bacteria
Description: partial 16S ribosomal RNA
Rfam family: Bacterial small subunit ribosomal RNA
Source: RNAcentral